Molecule: long non-coding RNA, 356 nt
Organism: Mercurialis annua (annual mercury)
Lineage: Eukaryota; Viridiplantae; Streptophyta; Magnoliopsida; Malpighiales; Euphorbiaceae
Exons: 3
Source: RefSeq, a predicted model, not a curated record
GUUGUAGCCAUUAUUCCACUAUUUUUCUGAGUUUUCCUUGCUCUUUUGGAUUGCUAAGACCCGUCGACUGCUCGUGCUUCGGAGUCGGAUCAGGUUUAGUUGCUUGUCAAGUUUUCACGUGGAUUUGCAAGCAGGUUAUGAUCUGAGAGAGUCUGGUGAUCUCCGCAUUUACUUUUCUUCGGAGGUUCCAUUUAUUUUUGAUAAACUGUAAAACUGUUUUAUUCUUAGACCGCAGUAGUAACUAGACGUCUUUAUUAUUACUGUAUAUUUUGUCGGAUUGGUUCGACUGGUUAUAUUGCUUUGGCAUGAUUAUAAUACUUACAUUGAUUUAUGAUAAAUCUAUAUUAGUCUCGGAA